Molecule: long non-coding RNA, 101 nt
Organism: Oryzias melastigma (Indian medaka)
Lineage: Eukaryota; Metazoa; Chordata; Actinopteri; Beloniformes; Adrianichthyidae
Exons: 3
Source: RefSeq, a predicted model, not a curated record
CUGCCCGAGAACGGGAACAAGGAGACGGGUCUGGAGAGGGUCAUCGACAGCGUGGCGUUGUUCAAGAAGCCGGGCGUGACGGGGCGGGGCCUGUACGAGCU